CAGCAGCCGCGGGAAUACGAAGGGUGCAAGCGUUACUCGGAAUUACUGGGCGUAAAGCGUGCGUAGGUGGUGGUUUAAGUCCGUUGUGAAAGCCCUGGGCUCAACCUGGGAAUUGCAGUGGAUACUGGGUCACUAGAGUGUGGUAGAGGAUAGUGGAAUUUCCGGUGUAGCAGUGAAAUGCGUAGAGAUCGGAAGGAACAUCUGUGGCGAAGGCGACUAUCUGGGCCAACACUGACACUGAGGCACGAAAGCGUGGGGAGCAAACAGGAUUAGAGACCCCGUAGUCCCUGUCUCUUAUACA
RNAcentral lists this ribosomal RNA (301 nucleotides) under uncultured bacterium. RNAcentral's name for it is "partial 16S ribosomal RNA". It matches the Rfam family "Bacterial small subunit ribosomal RNA", at positions 509 to 808 of the family's 1533-position model. The record is from RNAcentral.